This 75-nucleotide transfer RNA is filed under the name Bacteroidales bacterium. RNAcentral describes it as "tRNA-Glu". It matches the Rfam family "tRNA". From Rfam's summary of the family: Transfer RNA (tRNA) molecules are approximately 80 nucleotides in length. Lineage: Bacteria; Pseudomonadati; Bacteroidota; Bacteroidia; Bacteroidales. The record is from RNAcentral.
CGCGCUGUCGUCUAACAGGCUAGGACGUCACCCUUUCACGGUGAAGACUUACGGGUUCGAACCCCGUCGGCGCGA